Molecule: long non-coding RNA, 588 nt
Organism: Anoplophora glabripennis (Asian longhorned beetle)
Lineage: Eukaryota; Metazoa; Arthropoda; Insecta; Coleoptera; Cerambycidae
Exons: 2
Source: RefSeq, a predicted model, not a curated record
CAUUUAUUUACAAUGGACGAAAUGGCUAAAGCUCACGAUGUUACACUUCCUCGAUUGCCACCAUAUCACAGUGAGCUAAACUCCAUUGAACUAAUCUGGAUAAAUAUAAAAACUUAUAUAGCAAAGAAAGAACUUUUAAUCUAGAACCUAUAAAAUUUCUGUAGGCGAUUUAUCAGGUAAGUGUGGAGACAUGGAAUCUGCAUUAUGCACAUACCUAAAAGCACAAUGAAUAUGGGACUUCGACACAAAUUGAAGUUAUAAUAGAACCACUUACCAUAGCUUUAAGUGACACCAGUGAUAGCAACAACAGUAAUUAGUCAGUUUGCUAAUGCUGAUAACAGUCGUUUUCGGAAUUAUUGAAUCCGCACUACCGUAUAAAUAAAAAAGUACAUACUAUUGGAUAUACCAAAGUGAACAUAAAUUUGUAAAUAUAAAUCUAAAUUGCGACCUCCACAUUUCCCGUGAACAAUGAACUCGGACGAGGACCAUCGGUGGACAACACCCCAUAACUUCGACAUUUUCAACACAAAUGACUUGAAAAAAUUUGCAUGUGUAGUUCAAAUAUUAAUAAAAAAUGUCAAAGUUUGA